Molecule: ribosomal RNA, 857 nt
Filed under: uncultured bacterium
Lineage: Bacteria
Description: bacterial SSU rRNA
Rfam family: Bacterial small subunit ribosomal RNA
Source: RNAcentral
UACGUAGGGGGCAAGCGUUGUCCGGAAUGACUGGGCGUAAAGCGCGCGCAGGCGGUCUUUUAAGUCUGAGGUGAAAGGCUGGGGCUCAACCCUGGCAUCGCCUUGGAAACGGGAAGACUUGAGGACUGGAGAGGCAAGGGGAAUUCCACGUGUAGCGGUGAAAUGCGUACAGAUGUGGAGGAAUACCAGUGGCGAAGGCGCCUUGCUGGACAGUGCCUGACGCUGAGGCACGAAGGCGUGGGCAGCAAACAGGAUUAGAUACCCUGGUAGUCCACGCGGUAAACGAUGAGUGCUAGGUGUCGGAGGGUACCACCUCCGGUGCCGAAGGAAACCCAAUAAUCACUCCGCCUGGGGAGUACGGUCGCAAGACUGAAAGUCAAAGGAAUCGACGGGGGCCCGCACAAGCAGUGGAGCAUGUGGUUUAAUUCGAAGCAACGCGAAGAACCUUACCAGGACUUGACAUCCCCCUGACGGGAGUAGAGAUAUUCCGUCCCUUCGGGGCAGGGGAGACAGGUGGUGCAUGGUUGUCGUCAGCUCGUGUCGUGAGAUGUUGGGUUAAGUCCCGCAACGAGCGCAACCCUUGAUCAGUGUUACCAGCACGUAAAGGUGGGGACUCACUGAUGACUGCCGGUGAUAAACCGGAGGAAGGCGGGGAUGACGUCAAAUCAUCAUGCCCCUUAUGUCCUGGGCCACACACGUGCUACAAUGGGCGGUACAACGGGAAGUAAGAGAGCGAUCUGGAGCGAAACCCUAAAAGCCGUUCGUAGUUCGGAUUGCAGGCUGCAACCCGCCUGCAUGAAGCCGGAAUUGCUAGUAAUCGCGGAUCAGCAUGCCGCGGUGAAUCCGUUCCCGGGCCU